CUAUUUUACUUUUCCCCGAACAGAGCAGUUGUUCCUAACAGUAAUAACUAUAAAGACGAAUGGUAACAAUAACAACAAUAGUAUUUUCAAGAAAACAGAAGAUGUGCAUCCAACAAUCCCGAAUGGUAAAAGCAAACCAUGACUCUUAAGUGUGCCUCUGUAACAAUAGAAAAUGAGAUUUCGGAGGAAACAUGGUAGCCUAAAUAGUACCUCCUUACGCCUAGCCUCAAUCAGAGCUGCUUCAUUUUCUUUCUCAGGUUACGAAAACAGAGCUGCUAAACAAUACAUACCAAAAAUUAAAUCUUAAAACCAUUUGAAAACUUCAAAGCAGAAUCUACCAACAGAAAUUAGAUUUCAAAACACUAAAUUAAUUACCUAAUUUGGGGUGAGAGUGAGACUCGGACUCGGUGUUGUGGUGAGAGAGAUCGCGAGAGAAAGUCGCCCGAGAGAGAGAUUGUGAGAGAGAGCGGUGGCUGUGUGGUGUGGUGGUGGGCCGGUGGUUGGCCGGAAUUCGACAUUGACAAAUGAGGGCUCGGUGAGGGAGGAGGCGCAUGGGCUUGGAGUUUGAUGGAUGGAAUCAGG
Molecule: long non-coding RNA, 582 nt
Filed under: Malus domestica (apple)
Lineage: Eukaryota; Viridiplantae; Streptophyta; Magnoliopsida; Rosales; Rosaceae
Description: long non-coding RNA (MDOM_LNC001458)
Source: RNAcentral